CCGCGUCGCAUAGCUAGUUGGUGAGGUAACGGCUCACCAAGGCAACGAUGCGUAGCCGACCUGAGAGGGUGAUCGGCCACACUGGGACUGAGACACGGCCCAGACUCCUACGGGAGGCAGCAGUAGGGAAUCUUCCGCAAUGGACGAAAGUUGACGGGCAACGCCGCGUGAGUGAUGAAGGCUUUCGGGUCGUAAAACUCUGUUGUUAGGGAAGAACAAGUGCUAGUUGAAUAAGCUGGCACCUUGACGGUACCUAACCAGAAAGCCACGGCUAACUACGUGCCAGCAGCCGCGGUAAACGUAGGUGGCAAGCGUUAUCCGGAUUAUUGGGCGUAAAGCGCGCGCAGGUGGUUUCUUAAGUCUGAUGUGAAAGCCCACGGCUCAACCGUGGAGGGUCAUUGGAAACUGGGAGCUUGAGUGCAGAAGAGGAAAGUGGAAUUCCAUGUGUAGCGGUGAAAUGCGUAGAGAUAUGGAGGAACACCAGUGGCGAAGGCGACUUUCUGGUUGUAACUGACACUGAGGCGCGAAAGCGUGGGGAGCAAACAGGAUUAGAUACCCUGUAGUCCACGCCGUAAACGAUGAGUGCUAAGUGUUAGAGGGUUUCCGCCCUUUAGUGCUGAAGUUAACGCAUUAAGCACUCCGCCUGGGGAGUACGGCCGCAAGGCUGAAACUCAAAGGAAUUACGGGGGCCCGCACAAGCGGUGGAGCAUGUGGUUUAAUUCAAGCAACGCGAAGAACCUUACCAGGUCUUGACAUCCUCUGAAAACCCUAGAGAUAGGGCUUCUCCUUCGGGAGCAGAGUGACAGGUGGUGCAUGGUUGUCGUCAGCCGUGUCGUGAGAUGUUGGGUUAAGUCCCGCAACGAGCGCACCCUUGAUCUUAGUUGCCAUCAUUAAGUUGGGCACUCUAAGGUGACUGCCGGUGACAAACCGGAGGAAGGUGGGGAUGACGUCAAAUCAUAUGCCCCUUAUGACCUGGG
RNAcentral lists this ribosomal RNA (977 nucleotides) under Bacillus cereus. RNAcentral's name for it is "bacterial SSU rRNA". It matches the Rfam family "Bacterial small subunit ribosomal RNA", at positions 231 to 1213 of the family's 1533-position model. The record is from RNAcentral. Lineage: Bacteria; Bacillati; Bacillota; Bacilli; Caryophanales; Bacillaceae.